UGGUGCAGUAAUGACUACCUAGGAAUGAGUC
RNAcentral lists this non-coding RNA (31 nucleotides) under Homo sapiens (human). The record is from RNAcentral. Lineage: Eukaryota; Metazoa; Chordata; Mammalia; Primates; Hominidae.